Molecule: ribosomal RNA, 624 nt
Filed under: Triticum aestivum (bread wheat)
Lineage: Eukaryota; Viridiplantae; Streptophyta; Magnoliopsida; Poales; Poaceae
Description: partial small subunit ribosomal RNA
Source: RNAcentral
AUGGUCAGCUGGCCUGAUAUUUGCAAGCCCAGGGAGCAGGGUGGCCUGGGCAUCAUGUGCUCUAAAAGGAUGAAUAUUGCCCUUCUCUCCCGUUGGCUUUGGCGCAUCACGCAGGGUCAAGGUGGACUAUGGCUCGAAGUUAUCCGGAAUAAAUACCUGCGGGGUCAACCCCUUGCCUUCUGCCAGAAAUCGGGCGGUUCUCAGUUCUGGCAGUCUAUUGUCCGGCUUCUCCCGGUGCUUCGCAUUGGAACCUCCAUUUCGGUGGGGUCUGGCCUCUCGAUGCUCUUCUGGUUUGAUCGCUGGGCCGGAGACUCUCCCUUUGCAGCCCGCUUCCCCACCCUCUUCUCUAUCUCCGUCGACCCCAUGAUUUCUGUCGAUAGGGCCCUUCUUGACUUAGGGCGCCUUGCUUUCCGUCGGCCCUUUGGGCCGGCGGAAUCCGCCGCCUGGCGUGAGUUGCUUGAUUGCGUUGCUCUGCAUAGGCCGUUGGUGGAUGGGAGUCAGGACCUUGUGCGCUGGCGUCUGGAGCCGUCGUGCCAGUUCUCUACCAAGUCGCUGUACAUGGCCAUUGCCCCCUCCUCCGCCCCCUCCCCCUAUCGAUGGUGUGGUCCGUCCGCGUUCCUCUGA